GAUCCUGGCUCAGGAUGAACGCUGGCGGCGUGCCUAACACAUGCAAGUCGAACGAGCGAGAGAGAGCUUGCUUUCUCGAGCGAGUGGCGAACGGGUGAGUAACGCGUGAGGAACCUGCCUCAAAGAGGGGGACAACAGUUGGAAACGACUGCUAAUACCGCAUAAGCCCACGGCUCGGCAUCGAGCAGAGGAAAAAGGAGCAAUCCGCUUUGAGAUGGCCUCGCGUCCGAUUAG
This 234-nucleotide ribosomal RNA is filed under the name uncultured bacterium. Its description in RNAcentral is "partial 16S ribosomal RNA". It matches the Rfam family "Bacterial small subunit ribosomal RNA", at positions 15 to 244 of the family's 1533-position model. The record is from RNAcentral.